Molecule: unclassified non-coding RNA, 173 nt
Filed under: uncultured Sebacinaceae
Lineage: Eukaryota; Fungi; Basidiomycota; Agaricomycetes; Sebacinales; Sebacinaceae
Description: sequence contains ITS1
Source: RNAcentral
UUGAAUAAGUUGAGAGCCUGUUUGCUGGCUGCCCUGCAUGUUGUGCACGGCUCUCUGACUUUUUCUACCAUCCACCUGUGCACCUUUGGCCUCAUGCUGGCUUCGGCUGGCAGAGGAUUUUACACAAACUGAAAUGUAAUGAUAAACUGUUGUGUGCAUAUGCACUACUAAUA